AGUGAACGCUGGCGGUAGGCCUAACACAUGCAAGUCGAACGACAGCACAGGAGAGCUUGCUCUCUGGGUGGCGAGUGGCGGACGGGUGAGGAAUACAUCGGAAUCUACUCUGUCGCGGGGGAUAACGUAGGGAAACUUACGCUAAUACCGCAUACGACCUACGGGUGAAAGCAGGGGACCUUCGGGCCUUGCGCGAUUGAAUGAGCCGAUGUCGGAUUAGCUAGUUGGCGGGGUAAAGGCCCACCAAGGCGACGAUCCGUAGCUGGUCUGAGAGGAUGAUCAGCCACACUGGAACUGAGACACGGUCCAGACUCCUACGGGAGGCAGCAGUGGGGAAUAUUGGACAAUGGGCGCAAGCCUGAUCCAGCCAUACCGCGUGGGUGAAGAAGGCCUUCGGGUUGUAAAGCCCUUUUGUUGGGAAAGAAAUCCAGCUGGCUAAUACCCGGUUGGGAUGACGGUACCCAAAGAAUAAGCACCGGCUAACUUCGUGCCAGCCGCCGCAGUAA
Molecule: ribosomal RNA, 506 nt
Filed under: uncultured bacterium
Lineage: Bacteria
Description: partial 16S ribosomal RNA
Rfam family: Bacterial small subunit ribosomal RNA
Source: RNAcentral